Molecule: ribosomal RNA, 2902 nt
Filed under: Acinetobacter baumannii Naval-17
Lineage: Bacteria; Pseudomonadati; Pseudomonadota; Gammaproteobacteria; Moraxellales; Moraxellaceae
Description: bacterial LSU rRNA
Rfam family: Bacterial large subunit ribosomal RNA
Source: RNAcentral
AGUCAAGUAAUUAAGUGCAUGUGGUGGAUGCCUUGGCAGUCAGAGGCGAUGAAAGACGUGAUAGCCUGCGAAAAGCUCCGGGGAGGCGGCAAAUAUCCUUUGAUCCGGAGAUGUCUGAAUGGGGGAACCCACCUACUUUAAGGUAGGUAUUGCAACAUGAAUACAUAGUGUUGCAAGGCGAACGAGGGGAAGUGAAACAUCUCAGUACCCUUAGGAAAAGAAAUCAAUUGAGAUUCCCUCAGUAGCGGCGAGCGAACGGGGAUCAGCCCAUUAAGUUAUGUGUGUUUUAGUGGAACGCUCUGGGAAGUGCGAACGUAGAGGGUGAUAUUCCCGUACACGAAAGGGCACACAUAAUGAUGACGAGUAGGGCGAGGCACGUGAAACCUUGUCUGAAUAUGGGGGGACCAUCCUCCAAGGCUAAAUACUCCUGACUGACCGAUAGUGAACCAGUACCGUGAGGGAAAGGCGAAAAGAACCCCUGUGAGGGGAGUGAAAUAGAUCCUGAAACCGCAUGCAUACAAGCAGUGGGAGCACCUUCGUGGUGUGACUGCGUACCUUUUGUAUAAUGGGUCAGCGACUUAUAUUCAGUAGCGUGGUUAACCGUAUAGGGGAGCCGUAGAGAAAUCGAGUCUUAAUAGGGCGUUUAGUUGCUGGGUAUAGACCCGAAACCAGGCGAUCUAUCCAUGAGCAGGUUGAAGGUUGGGUAACACUAACUGGAGGACCGAACCCACUGUCGUUGAAAAGCCAGGGGAUGACUUGUGGAUAGGGGUGAAAGGCUAAUCAAGCCUGGUGAUAGCUGGUUCUCCCCGAAAGCUAUUUAGGUAGCGCCUCGGACGAAUACCAUAGGGGGUAGAGCACUGUUUCGGCUAGGGGGUCAUCCCGACUUACCAAACCGAUGCAAACUCCGAAUACCUAUGAGUACUAUCCGGGAGACAGACUGCGGGUGCUAACGUCCGUAGUCAAGAGGAAAACAAUCCAGACCGCCAGCUAAGGCCCCAAAAUCAUAGUUAAGUGGGAAACGAUGUGGGAAGGCAUAGACAGCUAGGAGGUUGGCUUAGAAGCAGCCACCCUUUAAAGAAAGCGUAAUAGCUCACUAGUCGAGUCGGCCUGCGCGGAAGAUGUAACGGGGCUAAAACUAUGUGCCGAAGCUGCGGAUGUAUACUUUGUAUACGUGGUAGGGGAGCGUUCUGUAAGCCGAUGAAGGUGUGUUGAGAAGCAUGCUGGAGGUAUCAGAAGUGCGAAUGCUGACGUGAGUAACGACAAAACGGGUGAAAAACCCGUUCGCCGAAAGACCAAGGGUUCCAGUCCAACGUUAAUCGGGGCUGGGUGAGUCGACCCCUAAGGCGAGGCCGAAAGGCGUAGUCGAUGGGAAAAUGGUUAAUAUUCCAUUACUUCUGUGUAAUGCGAUGAGAGGACGGAGAAGGCUAAAUCAGCCUGGCGUUGGUUGUCCAGGUGAAAGGAUGUAGGCAUGUAUCUUAGGCAAAUCCGGGGUACUCUAUGCUGAGAUCUGAUAGCAAGCUGUACUUGUACAGCGAAGUGGUUGAUGCCAUGCUUCCAGGAAAAGUCUCUAAGCUUCAGUUACACAGGAAUCGUACCCGAAACCGACACAGGUGGUCAGGUCGAGUAGACCAAGGCGCUUGAGAGAACUCUGCUGAAGGAACUAGGCAAAAUGGUACCGUAACUUCGGGAGAAGGUACGCUGUUGUUGGUGAUGGAACUCGCUUCCUGAGCUGACGACAGCCGCAGAAACCAGGCCGCUGCAACUGUUUAUUAAAAACAUAGCACUCUGCAAACACGAAAGUGGACGUAUAGGGUGUGAUGCCUGCCCGGUGCUGGAAGGUUAAUUGAUGGGGUUAGCGUAAGCGAAGCUCUUGAUCGAAGCCCCAGUAAACGGCGGCCGUAACUAUAACGGUCCUAAGGUAGCGAAAUUCCUUGUCGGGUAAGUUCCGACCUGCACGAAUGGCAUAAUGAUGGCGGCGCUGUCUCCAGCAGAGGCUCAGUGAAAUCGAAAUCGCUGUGAAGAUGCAGUGUACCCGCGGCUAGACGGAAAGACCCCGUGAACCUUUACUGCAGCUUGACACUGAACUUUGACCUUACUUGUGUAGGAUAGGUGGGAGGCUUUGAAGCUGGAACGCUAGUUCCAGUGGAGCCGUCCUUGAAAUACCACCCUGGUAAUGUUGAGGUUCUAACUCUGUCCCGUGAUCCGGGACGAGGACCGUGUCUGGUGGGUAGUUUGACUGGGGCGGUCUCCUCCUAAAGAGUAACGGAGGAGUACGAAGGUGCGCUCAGCGUGGUCGGAAAUCACGCGUAGAGUAUAAAGGCAAAAGCGCGCUUAACUGCGAGACCCACAAGUCGAGCAGGUACGAAAGUAGGUCUUAGUGAUCCGGUGGUUCUGUAUGGAAGGGCCAUCGCUCAACGGAUAAAAGGUACUCUGGGGAUAACAGGCUGAUACCGCCCAAGAGUUCAUAUCGACGGCGGUGUUUGGCACCUCGAUGUCGGCUCAUCUCAUCCUGGGGCUGAAGCAGGUCCCAAGGGUAUGGCUGUUCGCCAUUUAAAGAGGUACGCGAGCUGGGUUUAGAACGUCGUGAGACAGUUCGGUCCCUAUCUACCGUGGGCGCUGGAAAUUUGAGAGGAUCUGCUCCUAGUACGAGAGGACCAGAGUGGACGAACCUCUGGUGUACCGGUUGUGACGCCAGUCGCAUCGCCGGGUAGCUAUGUUCGGAAGGGAUAACCGCUGAAAGCAUCUAAGCGGGAAGCCUACCUCAAGAUAAGAUUUCCCUAGGACUUUAUGUCCUCUAAAGAGCCGUUCGAGACUAGGACGUUGAUAGGUUGGAUGUGGAAGCAUAGUGAUAUGUGAAGCUGACCAAUACUAAUUGCUCGUGAGGCUUGACUAUACAACACCC